This is a long non-coding RNA of Pantherophis guttatus, 764 nucleotides long. RefSeq lists it as uncharacterized. The record is from RefSeq and is a predicted model, not a curated record. Lineage: Eukaryota; Metazoa; Chordata; Lepidosauria; Squamata; Colubridae.
AUGUAUUGUUACCAAGAAGGACUGCCAAAAAAAUUAUUGGGUUCUCAUCCUUGCCUUUGCCAGUCUUGGUGGGCAACUGAAAAAUACAGAGCACAGAAGAUUGGAUUAAAUCAGGAGUUUCUAAAUGUUUCAGCUUGUUGACCUUUUCAUGAAGACUUCAUCAACCUCCAAACAUUUAUUAUAUGAAAAUAAUUUAAUAAAUACUACUUUAAUAGUACUAUUAGUAACAGCAAUAGCAACAAUGAAUAGUCUCAUCGACCCUUGGAAGUUGACCUUGACCACUUGGGGUCUUUGGAUUCUGGACUAGAUGGUCUUUUCUGAUUGGAUAGUUUGGAGCAAAGAUUGAACACAUAGAAUGAUACUGAACUCCAAGUGCCAUCACACCUAGCCACCACGAACAAAGACUAUGGCAGUUGCAUUCCAACAGUAUCUGGAGCUGCAGUUCAACAACAUGACAGCGAGUUUGCUAUAGUGAUUAAGAUAUCAGGCUAGUAACCAGGAAACCUAAAUUCUAGUCCUGCCUUAGGCAAAAAGCCAGCUGAAUGACCUCAGGCCAGUUCCUCUCUGUCAUCCCUAGGAAAAUAGCAAAUUACUUCUGAAAAACUUGCCAAGAAAAGGACUGGUCCAAGCAGUAUCCAGGAAUCAAUACUGACUCAAAGGCACACACUCACACAAUAUCCAACAACAUCCCUGGAAGGGUAUCUCAAGUUAAACAACUGUGCUAGAGUGCUAAUAUUUAAAAAUAGCAUUUAGACUAUUCACAA